GCGUUGUCCGGAAUUAUUGGGCGUAACGAGCUCGUAGGCGGUCUGUCACGUCGGCUGUGAAAACCUGGGGCUCAACUCCGGGCCUGCAGCCGAUACGGUCAGACUAGAGUUCGGCAGGGGAGACUGGAAUUCCUAGUGUAGCGGUGAAAUGCGCAGAUAUCAGGAGGAACACCGGUGGCGAAGGCGGGUCUCUGGGCCGAUACUGACGAUGAGGAGCGAAAGCGUG
RNAcentral lists this ribosomal RNA (226 nucleotides) under uncultured bacterium. RNAcentral describes it as "partial 16S ribosomal RNA". It matches the Rfam family "Bacterial small subunit ribosomal RNA", at positions 538 to 763 of the family's 1533-position model. The record is from RNAcentral.